CGGGAGACUAAGGCAGGAGAAUAGCUUGAACCUGGGAGGCAGAGUGAGGCAAGAUCAUGCCAUUGCACUCCAGCCUGGGCAACAAGAGCAAAAUUCUGUCUCAAAAAAAAAGCGGGGGGUAUUUUUUAGUGCAGAGCUCCCCAAAGCCUCUAACAUACUUCCAAAUAGAAUGACUUAAGCAACUCAGAAGAAAAGUUUUUCAGAAAGACAAAAGCAUUUAUUUGCAAUAGAGGCAAGAGGGCAACGGGUUUUCCCAUGCUCCUGCUCAAUCCCUCUCCCAGAUGAACAGAUGAUGUCUUGCCAUCCUUAAACUUCAUUGCAAAGAAACUGGUUUCAUCCACAGCUCCCUUCACAUUCCCACCCAAUCCCUUAGCUUCCAUUUUGGACCAUGGGACUUGACUCAUAGACUGGCUAUCAACCUGUAACACAGCCAGGUAUAAAAGGAUGACCUGAGCUUGGGCAACGCAGUGAGACUCUGUCUCUGCAAAAAAAAAUUUUAAAAAUUAGCCAGGUGUGGUGGUGCAUGCCUGUAAUCUCAGCUACUCAGGAGGAUGAGGUGGGAGGAUCACUUGAAUUCGGGAGGUCAAGGCUGCAAUGAGCUGUCAUUGCACCGCUGCAUUCCAGCCUGGAUGAUGGGGAGAGACCCUGCAAAAGAAAAGAAAAAAAAAAAAAGGAUGACCUGGACCAAUCAACUAUAUGAUCACUCUUGGAAGUAGCCAGUUGAGCCAGUUGGUAGAGGUGGACAAAUUUGAAAAGGGUGGAAUCAGACCCAUGGUGAGGCAAAGCCACAUGAGAGCAAAAUUAUGAGGGAAGUGAACGCUGAGCAGGCCGUGAAAGCCCAGAGUAGAAACAGAAGCAGAAUGUUCUGUUCCAGAAUGGAACAGAAGCACAGAGCACUGCAGAGAUGCCCCGAGAGCUCUUAGAAAUGGAAGUUGAUGUGGUGUGGAUGCGUGUCCCCUCCAAAUCUCAUGCUGAAACGUGAUCCCCAACGUUGGAGGUAGCCAUGGUGGCAAAUAUUGGAUCAUGGGGGCAGAUUUCUCAAGGAUGACUUAGCACCGUCCCCCUGGUGAAUGACUUGGGAUAUAAAUAAACUAAAUAUAUCCUGUUUGAAUAAUAAGUGGAAGACAGCUUGAUGAAUUGGACAAGGAAGCCCUUGGAACAGGAUGUAAAAGCAGCACUUUCCAUCCAGCCUGACAUCCUGCUUCCAGAUGCAGAAGGCUGAGCAGGCCACCAGGAUCACAUUUAAAUGGCUGUGGCCAUGAUGUUCCAAUUUGAAACCUGGACUCCACCAACUUCCAUACUCAUCCCUUGCUCUCAGCCCUCUCCCUCCCCUGUCCAGGUCCUCAGGAUGAUCUGAGAAAUAUGUUACACUUUUCUUCCUCGCUAGAUGUCAACACGUUGGAAGGCAGGGACCUUGCCAUAUUAAUCCUUAGGGCCUUGGGUUCUGCUGUAGUAAAGACUCAAAAAAUGUUGGGUAAAAUUAAUUUUAAAAACAACUGGUGGCCGGGUGCGGUGGCUCACGCCUAUGAUCCCAGCACUUUGGGAGGCCAAGGCGGGUGGAUCACCUGAGGUCAGGAGUUCGAGACCAGCCUGGGCAACAUGGUGAAACCCUGUCUUUACUAAAAAUACAAAAAUUAGCCUGGCGUGGUGGCAGCGCCUGUAGUCCCAGCUACUUGGGAGGCUAAGACAGGAGAAUUGCUUGAACUUGGGA
Molecule: long non-coding RNA, 1711 nt
Filed under: Homo sapiens (human)
Lineage: Eukaryota; Metazoa; Chordata; Mammalia; Primates; Hominidae
Description: HSALNT0243968
Source: RNAcentral